UGGUGCUUGCAUCAUGAUUUACAUUUGAGUGAGUGGCGAACUGGUGAGUAACACGUGGGAAACCUGCCCAGAAGCGGGGGAUAACACCUGGAAACAGAUGCUAAUACCGCAUAACAACUUGGACCGCAUGGUCCGAGCUUGAAAGAUGGCUUCGGCUAUCACUUUUGGAUGGUCCCGCGGCGUAUUAGCUAGAUGGUGGGGUAACGGCUCACCAUGGCAAUGAUACGUAGCCGACCUGAGAGGGUAAUCGGCCACAUUGGGACUGAGACACGGCCCAAACUCCUACGGGAGGCAGCAGUAGGGAAUCUUCCACAAUGGACGAAAGUCUGAUGGAGCAACGCCGCGUGAGUGAAGAAGGGUUUCGGCUCGUAAAACUCUGUUGUUAAAGAAGAACAUAUCUGAGAGUAACUGUUCAGGUAUUGACGGUAUUUAACCAGAAAGCCACGGCUAACUACGUGCCAGCAGCCGCGGUAAUACGUAGGUGGCAAGCGUUGUCCGGAUUUAUUGGGCGUAAAGCGAGCGCAGGCGGUUUUUUAAGUCUGAUGUGAAA
RNAcentral lists this ribosomal RNA (550 nucleotides) under Lactiplantibacillus plantarum. Its description in RNAcentral is "bacterial SSU rRNA". It matches the Rfam family "Bacterial small subunit ribosomal RNA", at positions 62 to 599 of the family's 1533-position model. Lineage: Bacteria; Bacillati; Bacillota; Bacilli; Lactobacillales; Lactobacillaceae. The record is from RNAcentral.